Chelonia mydas (Green sea turtle) is the source of this 827-nucleotide long non-coding RNA. RefSeq lists it as uncharacterized. The transcript has 3 exons. Lineage: Eukaryota; Metazoa; Chordata; Testudines; Cheloniidae. The record is from RefSeq and is a predicted model, not a curated record.
UUUGUUUGCUAAGCGUGGGUGCUGUCAAUGCCACAAAGAGCAUUUAAUUGAGUAUUUGGGGGGAGAAGGAAUGAAGGGAAACAAGAGAGGGAAUAUAUAACUGUGGCAUGAUAUUUUUCCCCAAAACCAAGCUUUGUGAAUUCAACAUCACGCAUAGCAGGUAAGGAGUAAACAUUCUACCUUAUAAUCAGCAAGAUCCCUUUGCAGUCUGGGCAGAGACUUCAGACAGGAACACUCACCUGCAUCUCUGCUUGCAAUCAGGCAGCUAGUGUUCAGGAUAUCUUAAUGAGCCUAAUUGACAACAUGCAACCCUGAGUCCCCAGAGAACAGAGAGAGAAACCAGCCAUAGGAAAGCAGACAGAAGUGGAACCGCAGGUACACAGCUCCUGCUGCCCCUCUGGUUUUCUCAGCCUUCCAGCCUGAUAGGAAGGGUUGAUUCUGAUGUGCUGAAUCAAGGUUACUUAUGUGAGGCUGGCAACCAGUGGAAGCAAUUGAGGGGAAAUUGCUGAAGCGAAAUCAGCAAAGUAUCAGUGAUGCAGCAUUCUAUGAUAUUUUGCAGAUAUCACCAGGUUUAAUUUCUUGGCAGCACUUGGGAUAAACAGCACUUACUGUCACAAUGAUCAUUGGCAUCCUCAUACUAAGUUUAAAGGCACAAUAGAAAUAUAGAGAUUUUUUUAAGCACUUUUCUCUGGUCUCCGGAAUCUGAACAGUUUAUUUAAAAACCAAAAUUUUCUCAGUGGACAAGUUUUACCUACAUUCUCAAAGCUUACGAUUCCACCAAGAUUUGAUAGUCUUUGAAUAAAAUGCUCCGAUUAACACCACCCAUA